UACGUAGGGGGCAAGCGUUAUCCGGAUUUACUGGGUGUAAAGGGAGCGCAGACGGAUAUGCAAGUCUGAAGUGAAACCCCACGGCUCAACUGUGGGCUUGCUUUGGAAACUGUAAAUCUAGAGUACUGGAGAGGUAAGCGGAAUUCCUGGUGUAGCGGUGAAAUGCGUAGAUAUCAGGAGGAACACCGGAGGCGAAGGCGGCUUACUGGACAGAUACUGACGUUGAGGCUCGAAGGCGUGGGGAG
Molecule: ribosomal RNA, 245 nt
Filed under: uncultured Butyrivibrio sp.
Lineage: Bacteria; Bacillati; Bacillota; Clostridia; Lachnospirales; Lachnospiraceae
Description: partial 16S ribosomal RNA
Rfam family: Bacterial small subunit ribosomal RNA
Source: RNAcentral